RNAcentral lists this transfer RNA (68 nucleotides) under Elephantulus brachyrhynchus (short-snouted elephant shrew). RNAcentral's name for it is "tRNA-Lys". The record is from RNAcentral. Lineage: Eukaryota; Metazoa; Chordata; Mammalia; Macroscelidea; Macroscelididae.
CAUUAAGAAGCUACUGCAGCAUUAACCUUUUAAGUUAAAGACGGGGAUUUUAAUCUCCCCCUUAAUGA